RNAcentral lists this unclassified non-coding RNA (339 nucleotides) under Hevea brasiliensis (rubber tree). The record is from RNAcentral. Lineage: Eukaryota; Viridiplantae; Streptophyta; Magnoliopsida; Malpighiales; Euphorbiaceae.
GGGAGAAGGAGAGUUUUUUGAAGACAAAAAGGAGGAGAAGAAUGUGCUUCCACAAGAAAAGAAAGACGAGCAGAAAACUGUGGACUCUGCAUUGCUCAAGGCUAUUGAAGGAAUUCCUGAAUUGAAGGCGUAUUUGUCUGCAAGGUUCUCGUUGAAGUCAGGCAUGAAACCACACGAGCUUGUGUUCUAAUGGAAGUAUACCUACAACAUUUCUGUUGAAACUGAUUUUUGUUACUACUAUUUUUCUGUUUUCUUCGGAUUGAACUUGUGUUAAGAGUUCAUAUCGAGUAUAAACAUCUUUAAUUAGAAUUUGCAAUAUGAGAAUUUUCUUGAUUAUCC